RNAcentral lists this unclassified non-coding RNA (336 nucleotides) under soil metagenome. RNAcentral's name for it is "partial contains 5.8S ribosomal RNA, internal transcribed spacer 2, and large subunit ribosomal RNA". The stretch from base 1 to 120 matches the Rfam family "5.8S ribosomal RNA", at positions 35 to 154 of the family's 154-position model. The record is from RNAcentral.
GAUGAAGAACGUAGUAAAAUGCGAUAAGUAAUGUGAAUUGCAGAAUUCAGUGAAUCAUCGAAUCUUUGAACGCACAUUGCGCCCGCCAGUAUUCUGGCGGGCAUGCCUGUUCGAGCGUCAUUUCAACCAUCAAGCCCCCGGCUUGUGUUGGGGACCUGCGGCUGCCGCAGGCCCUGAAAACCAGUGGCGGGCUCGCUGUCACACCGAGCGUAGUAGAUUUUCAUCUCGCUCAGGGCGUGCUGCGGGUUCCGGCCGUAAAAAGCCUUAUUUACCCAAGGUUGACCUCGGAUCAGGUAGGAAGACCCGCUGAACUUAAGCAUAUCAAUAAGCGGAGGA